CACGUAGGGCGCAAGCGUUGUCCGGAAUUAUUGGGCGUAAAGAGCUCGUAGGCGGUCUGUUGCGUCUGCUGUGAAAACCCGGGGCUUAACCCCUGGCUUGCAGUGGAUACGGACAGACUAGAGGUAGGUAGGGGAGAAUGGAAUUCCCGGUGUAGCGGUGAAAUGCGCAGAUAUCAGGAGGAACACCCGUAGCGAAGGCGGCACUCUGGGCCGAUUCUGACACUGAGGAGCGAAAGCGUGGGGAGCGAACAGG
Molecule: ribosomal RNA, 253 nt
Filed under: uncultured bacterium
Lineage: Bacteria
Description: partial 16S ribosomal RNA
Rfam family: Bacterial small subunit ribosomal RNA
Source: RNAcentral